GAUGAACGCUGGCGGCGUGCCUAAUACAUGCAAGUCGAGCGAACAGACGAGGAGCUUGCUCCUCUGACGUUAGCGGCGGACGGGUGAGUAACACGUGGAUAACCUACCUAUAAGACUGGGAUAACUUCGGGAAACCGGAGCUAAUACCGGAUAAUAUAUUGAACCGCAUGGUUCAAUAGUGAAAGACGGUUUUGCUGUCACUUAUAGAUGGAUCCGCGCCGCAUUAGCUAGUUGGUAAGGUAACGGCUUACCAAGGCAACGAUGCGUAGCCGACCUGAGAGGGUGAUCGGCCACACUGGAACUGAGACACGGUCCAGACUCCUACGGGAGGCAGCAGUAGGGAAUCUUCCGCAAUGGGCGAAAGCUUGACAGAGCAACGCCGCGUGAGUGAUGAAGGUCUUCGGAUCGUAAAACUCUGAUAUUAGGGAAGAACAAAUGUGUAAGUAACUAUGCACGUCUUGACGGUACCUAAUCAGAAAGCCACGGCUAACUACGUG
RNAcentral lists this ribosomal RNA (497 nucleotides) under uncultured bacterium. Its description in RNAcentral is "partial 16S ribosomal RNA". It matches the Rfam family "Bacterial small subunit ribosomal RNA", at positions 28 to 507 of the family's 1533-position model. The record is from RNAcentral.